GGCAGCUCUCAAAAAUCCGUAGUGACAUCAAAGAGUUUGUUCAUCCAAGUAAUUUCUAUGGUUCAAGUUCCAGGUAUGAAUUGAAGAUGUCGGUAUGGAUUGCAAGUAUUAAGACAUUGCUUUAGGAAGAAAAUACCAUUUAUUUAUUAAUUUCAUCUUUAGAGAUAUGUAUUUUGUGUUAUUUCAAAACUUUUAUAAUUUUAUGUUACUUUGAAACCUUUGUAAUUUACAUUUGUUUUAAUAUAAUUUUGUUUUUUUUCUUUGUA
Helianthus annuus (common sunflower) is the source of this 266-nucleotide long non-coding RNA. RefSeq lists it as uncharacterized. The record is from RefSeq and is a predicted model, not a curated record. The transcript is spliced from 2 exons. Lineage: Eukaryota; Viridiplantae; Streptophyta; Magnoliopsida; Asterales; Asteraceae.